AAAAUAUCUGAAUAAAUGUAAUUAAAAACUAUUAAGGUUGUAACGUGACAAAUGUAUCUAGUUAUUUUUUUUGUCUAUUUAUAUAUAUAUAUAUAUAUAUUUGUUUUGAGCCAAAUGCGGACUGCGACGGCGUUUGUCAGUAAAAUUAUCGUGAUAAGGUAUUGUGAUUUGUUUAUGCGCGUGCGAGAUAGUCAGCUGUGUACUACUUCAGACCGGUUCAUGGACGGCAUUUAUGUGUACAUUCACCCCGCUCCUUUCCCAUCUUGAACGUCAUUUGCACUGCUCACCGCAUACAUUGUCGCCUUAUGAUUAAAAUUGUUCUUAGUAAUUUCUGGCACUGGGUAUUAAGUUUUUUUUUGACCCCUACUCCAAAGGCUAGCCGUGUUGUCGCCAACGGACCGCCGGGUCAAACGUCGGACGAGUUGUCGGAAAUUAGCCAUCGUCGGAACUGGUACGCUAAUUUUCGUCCGUAGCGGUAGUUAUUUUUGUUGUGUGCGUUACAACUUUUUUAUAUAUAUAUACAUUUUUUUUUUUUUUACGUGAGUGUCCGCUGUUCGUUUAUUAUGUAGUUUUUUUUAUUGGCGUCGGCUGAACCUACCUCCAGUUUCUUUAGCCCUUCGGGGCUGGUAAUGUUUUAUAUUUUACUUUAUGGGCGAUAUGUAUAUAUUAUUGGUACAAUGUGGUGACGUAGUGUAUUUUAUUCCGGGGUGUCCCAACGUCUUGCAAGCUAAGUCUAACUGCCUAAAACCAGUCGCUUACUUGGGACGUAUACCCGCCGUGCUUAGCGGUAAUUCUGGGAUUAAUAGCCGGCGGGUACCCGAAGACGUUCAUCGUAUUCUCUAAUAAUAAAAGUGUAGGUGUAACUAUUUUUUUUAUUAAUAUCUGUUUUUUUUUUCUCUUUCUUUGUCCCCUUUAAUUGUAGACGAGGUUUUUUGACCGUUCGGUUUUUUGCCUCGUGUUAACUUAAUUUUUUUGUUUUUUUUU
Daktulosphaira vitifoliae (grape phylloxera) is the source of this 984-nucleotide long non-coding RNA. RefSeq lists it as uncharacterized. NCBI's taxonomy places the organism in Eukaryota, Metazoa, Arthropoda, Insecta, Hemiptera, Phylloxeridae. The record is from RefSeq and is a predicted model, not a curated record. The transcript is spliced from 2 exons.